UUUUUUCCUUCCCUAACACAGCAUCGUCCUUUACUAGUGGGCCGAACAUGUUUCAGGUUCAGGACUUUGGUUGUGAGGGCGGCAGACGGUGGUGCAAGGCGGCCGUCCAGUGGCCGAAUAGUGUACAGACAGUCUCAGGGAGAGAAUGUAUUUCCUAUUGCUCCGGUCCAGAAGAUUGCGUCCUUUGUCGUGCCCGUUGGCGCUUUUAUCGCCGUUACUUUCGCUGACAGUUUUGUGGAAAUUGGUGGAGAAA
This 253-nucleotide unclassified non-coding RNA is filed under the name Hevea brasiliensis (rubber tree). The record is from RNAcentral. Lineage: Eukaryota; Viridiplantae; Streptophyta; Magnoliopsida; Malpighiales; Euphorbiaceae.